GUGGGCUCGAUCCCAUGACCUGGGAUCAUGACCUGAGCUGAGAUCACGAGUCAGACACUCAACCGACUGAGUCACCCAGGCGCCCCAGGGUGAGUCUUUAAAAACAUGGGCAGAUGACAUACCUCCUCUGUUCAUCGCCUUCCAGUGGCUCUAACAUACUAUUUAUUUUGCUUCUUUGUUUAUUGUCUGACUUCCCCUACUCUAGUGAAAUAGAUGCUCCAUGAGGGCAGGGCUUUUUGUCGGGUUUUUUUUCACUACUGUGUAUCCAGCACCUACAACAGUGUCUGGCAGAUAGGAGUCUUCAGUCAGAUGUUUGUUGAAUAAAGGAAUGAGAUUCCAUUAGGCAUCUGGAUUCAUGAGUCUGGCACUCAGGAGCGGGUUCUGGGCUGAAGAUGAGGAUUGGAGGCCACUGACAGAUAGAGGGCGCACGAAGCCGCCUCCGGAGUGCCUGUGAUCUCCCACUUGCAGGGGGGAGAGUAGCAGAAGAGGAGCCCCAGGGAACAUAAAAGAAAAGCAGAGAAAGUGGUGCCCUGGAAGGAGACUGGGAGGCAGCAGUCCGUGUGGCAUCAGACGACCAAGGCGGGCGAGCCCGGCAGGGAGGAAGUGGUCCGUGGUCAAGUACGACUGAGAAGAAGCAGUCCAAGGACAGCAGCUUCACCAGACGGUAGAGGCACCCACCCAGUUUCAGUGUGGAGGGGUGGGGCAGGGGGGUUGAGCAGCUGGUACGGACAGGUCUCCAGGAAAUCAGGCUGAGAAGGAGAAACAGGCCGAUUCCUGGAGGAGGGCCAGGCGUCAAUGUAAUGAUUGGACAGAACAGGGCCGGCUUCAGGGCGGAGGAGAAGGAGCGAGCAAAGAGAAAUUUGUGGACACAGCUGAGAGACUGCGGUGCCUGACGUGGCGGGGAGAACAGGUAAAGAAAGUGGAGGAGGGGUGGCCUGGAGAUGAGCGGCAGCUCAUGACAGCAAGGAUGCGGUUCUUGCUUACACAUCUGUAAUUAGAUCGGAGUUCGGCCGGUCUAGGUUGGGUACAGCUGGCCUCGGUUCCGGGCUCUUCAAAGUAUCUCAUCUCUCUGGGCCCAGCAGAGUGUGUUCCUCUCGUGGCAAUGGCAGAAGCCAACAGAGAAAGCCCAACCCACAAGCACGUUUCUGGCCUUUGCUGACAUCCCAUUUGCUAACAUCCCACAGGUGAAAGCAAGUCACUUGGCCAAGCUCAAAGUCAAGAGGGGAGGCGGGGACGCUCUGCCCUCAUGAGGCCACGGCAAGGCUGUGAAUGGGUAUUUCUGCUAUGGGGGUGGGGAGGAGGUGAAGAAUGGAGGCAAUAAUGCAGCCUACCAGAGGACGCUAGCGUCACCAUUUUGAUUAUCCUCACCUCAUCCAAGCCGUAUGUGGUUCGAUUUGCUGUAGCUCCCAACCAGCCUCCCCACCUCCGAGUGAUCCUGCAAGACUCCAGACUCAGCCUCCUCACAUGACAUUGUCAUGAUGUCCCUCCUCUUUCCAAGCCCUGCCGGUAAGAUGAAGCCCAAAGUCCUCAGCCAGGGAUCCAGGGGCUCCAAACCCAACGUGUGCAGGGUGUUCCCAUCUCUCUCCAGGAUGGACUCUCCACUCUGGAGUCUAAUUCUACUCCUUCUCCUCAACCCUCCCUUUCUCAACCGCUUCAUCACUUACCUAACGUACCCCCCCCCACCCACCCCCGCCCCGUGAAGCUUCCAUGUCUUCUUCCCAAACCCGUUUCUGAACUCCUACAAUUAAACUUAAAUACAGUGACUUGAAUUGUGAAUAUUUUGUUUACAUAUUUACUGAACAAACAGUGUUUUCUUUCAGCACCCACUUGUCACACAACUAACGUGGGGUUGACCCAUUAUGGCUGGGCGCUUAGUGGAAACCUGGUAGUCUUGCCCCCGAGGAGUUUCCAGCUGAGGACUAGAAACAGGGUGGCUCUGAGACACAGGGAACGUGCCCUGUCAUGGGCAUGAGGAGACUGGGAUUCUGGUCCCGACUCCUUCAUCAUAGCAUGAGAGCUGUGAAUUCUGUUCAACACUAUCCUUGGGGCUAAUGCGCACAUCAGAUACAGUGCAGGUAAAAGCGUCUUUAAAAAGAGGUAAUCCCUUGUUUUCAAGAUGCGGACACUACUGUUGGGAGAGGUGAAACCAAUGAUUCUGUGGCAGAGCAAGGACAGGGGUCCGUGAUCCCUCUGUCCAAUGCUCUUUCCACCUACUCCUCUUCGAAGGAUGCCUCUACCAGCACCCCAGGUCCUCAGAAACUUUUUGAUGCCAUCGAUAAGGAGGUGACUGACUCAUUCCUCACGCGUCAGUAAAGGUGAUCGCACACUUUUCUGGAAGCCUGAAGCCAUGCCUCCAAACUCGAUUCUUCCGGAUUGUAGGAAACACACCCCGUGGCCGAUUCGUCCUCCACUCCUCUGGCUUUGCAUCCAUCAGUCUUUCUUCACAAGGCUUCACUUUUCAGAACCAGGUUCCCGGAGGUUAUAGAUUCGCAACAAAGAAAGCAGAACUGAGCAUUCUCGACCCUGAACGAGCAACCUGGUACCCUAGUAGAAAGCUCCAGGAAAGCUUCAUUAGAAUUGAAUAUAUGCAUUCAGCCAUUGGCACUGGCCUAACAAGUCUUUGCUAGUGUUCAUUGCUUGCCACUUACCGUGGCAAAUAUUGGAUGAUAGAAAACUUGCCUCCACUCUCUGCACUUCAGUUUAUUCAUCUGUGAAGUGGACGUAACAGUAGCAUCUAUUGCAAGAGGUUGUUAAAAAGCAAACAAGACAGAACAGAGAACCGAGAAACAGACUCACACAGAUACACCCAAUGGAAUUUUGACAAGGCUGCGAAAGAAACUGAACAGAGGAAAAUGGCUUUUUCAAGUUUCCGGUGCUGAAGCAAUUGGACAUCCUUUGGGUGUGGGGCCCCGGGCGGUGGGGGAAGACCUCCCUUCGUCUUGCAUCAUAUACAAAAAUGCACUCAAAACAGAUUGUAGCCUUAAAUGGAAAAUGGAAAGCUAUAAGACCUUUAGAAACAAACAUAAGGAAAAAAAGCUUGAGGAUCUAGGGCUAGCAAGUUCUUACAGCUGACACCAAAAGCAUGACCCAUAGAAGGAAAAAUAGAUAAAUUGGACUUUCUCAACAUUGAAAAGUUUGCUCUGCAAAAGCAAAACAAAAAAGCCCGUGAACACAAUGAAAAGCAAAGCUACAGACUGGGAAAAAAUAUCUCAAGGUGUGUACUAAUAAAGACUAGUAAUCUACAAUAUAUAAAACUCAAAACUCAAGAGUAAAAAAAAAAAUCCAAUGGAAAAUGAGCAAAAGCUGUGAAGAGACAUUUCAUCCCAAAGUAGGUAGAAACUGUAAGAAGCACAUGAAAAUAUGUUCAACCUCAUUAGGGAAAUGUAAAAUCAAACUACAAUGAAACAUGGGUACACACCUAGCAGAAAGACUAACAUAAAAAAUAGUGACAAACCCAUUGUGGGUGAGGACGUGGAAAAACUAGAUCGCUCGUGCAUUCCUCGUGGGAAUGUAAAACAGUCUGGCAAUUGCUUAAGAAAUUAAACGUGCAACAAUCAUACAACCCAAUAAUUACUCCUGGGCAUUUAUCCCAGAGAAAUGAAGACUUACAUUCACACACAAACCUGUACAGGAAUGUUUACAGAAGCUUUAUUUCUAACAGGCAAAAGGAAACCACCCAGAUAUCCUUUACCAGUUUCUCGGUCCCAACUUGGACGUCACCGGACUGAACGUGGAUGCUGUACCCAGCUCUGUGACUUUAGAUGAAUUACUGACCUCAUCGCGGUCUCAAUUACCUCGUCUUAUGAAACAAAGGACGAGGAGGGGACAAAUCAGAGUGACAGAGCUUUAGACCAGUGCUGUCCACUGUGGUAGCCACCAGCCACCUGUAGCUGUUGAGCACUCGAGACGAGGCAGGACUGAACCGGACUGAAUCAGGAUGGUCUGUAUGUGUAUACACACUGGAUUUUGAAGACACCAUAUGAAAAAAGAACAUAAAAUAUCUCAAUAAUUUUAUUAUUUAGUGAUUACAUGUUGAAAUGAUCACUUCUUCAUAUACCAGGGCAAAUAAAUCGUAUUCUACUUUUUUUAAGUUUUAUUUAUUUAUUUUGGGGAAGGAGGGACACAGAGAGAAGGAGGGAGAGAGAAGCCCAAGCAGGCUCUGCCCUGGCAGCGUGGAGCCCAACUUGGGGCUCGAGCUCACCAGCCGUGAGAUCGUGACCUGAGCCAAAAACAAGAGUUGGACGCUUAACCAACUGAGUCACCCAGGGACCUCAAUAAAACGUAUUAUUGAUUUAACCUGUUUCUUUUUACUAUUUAUUUAUUUAUUUAUUUAUUUUUAAGAUUUUAUUUUUAAGUAAUCUCUACACCCAACUCGGGGUAACCCAAGACAUCAAGAGUCACGUUCUCCCGACUAAGCCCACCAGGCACCUCUCUUUUUACUUUGUAAUGUGGCUAGUAAGAAAUGUAAAGUAAUUAGGGAUGCCUGGGUGGCUCAGUCGGUUGGGCAUCCAACUUCCACUCAGGUCAUGAUC
Molecule: long non-coding RNA, 4532 nt
Organism: Prionailurus viverrinus (fishing cat)
Lineage: Eukaryota; Metazoa; Chordata; Mammalia; Carnivora; Felidae
Exons: 7
Source: RefSeq, a predicted model, not a curated record